RNAcentral lists this long non-coding RNA (1122 nucleotides) under Physcomitrium patens. RNAcentral's name for it is "long non-coding RNA (PPAT_LNC002223)". The record is from RNAcentral. Lineage: Eukaryota; Viridiplantae; Streptophyta; Bryopsida; Funariales; Funariaceae.
UUAAAUAAUUUAAUGGUGUUUUUUAUUCAAAAAAAUAUUAUUAAUGGCUCAAAAGAUCCACCAAUUAAUUUUGUAUAAAGUAAAAUUAAAAUUUGUAACUGUUUUAUAAUUUUAUUAACCUAUAAACUAAUUUAAUACAGAUUUUUUAAAAUAAAAAUUUUAUCUAAAAAUAAUAGAAUGGAUAAUUUCAAAAAUAUAUAUUAUACUUAUAUAAAUAAAUAAAAUAUUAAAUUAAUCAAAUUUAUUUUUAAAAUAUAAUAUUUUUUAAAAAAAUAUCAAAAUAUAUUUUAGAUAUGGAUUGGAUUUGUAGGUGUAUCUUAUAACUGCAAAAAAUAAACUCUAUGUGAUUUUGUAAUUUUAGAAAGUCAUCGUAGAAAUAAUUUGAAAUUUAUAUAUCUAACUUAUAAUCUUUAUAGUCUUAAAGAAGCUUCUACAUAGCCUUCUUAUUUGAUAUUAUAUAUAGGAAUGAAACUAAGGCCAUCUUAAAAAUCUUCUCAUAUUCUAAUUUUGAUUAAAAAAAUAUUUUCUCUUUAUUUUUAAUAAUAACUAUUAUAGUAUCUUCUUAAUUUAUAAAUAUACUUAUUUUAGAUUGAUUUUCUUGAUUUUGUAUGAUGCUUCUUUUAUAGAUUUAUACAAAUUUAUGUCUCUUGUAAUAAAGUAAUUUUUUUUCUUACUAAAAUACUAUAGAUAUUUGUAAUAUAAAUUUUCUUUUAUGGUAAAAAUAUUUCUAAAGAAAGACCAAGUUUGAAGUUGCUUUAUAUUAUAAUGAAGUCUAAAGUUUUUAAAAUUGUGCAUUGUGUUAAUUUUAAUUUUAAUUUCUUUACAAAAGUAGAUAAUAAAUCCCUUAAACCAUUGAUAAUAUUUCAUAUCUAGAUAAAAAAUAAAAAUAAAAAAUCAUGAUAUAUCUAAAUAAUAUGUUUAAGAAUUUAUUUGGUGUGAUAUUGAUAUUAAUAAUAAUUCCAAAUACUUAAUUUUUUAAGAUUAUUAUAUUUAUAAAUAUUAUAUAUAUAUAUACAUAUAUAUAUAUAUAUAAUAUUAAAUAUAUCCAAUAUUUUACUAAAUUUAUCUACCUAUCUUGAAAAAUAAAUUACCUCUAGAUUCAUUUGUCCACUACUUGAUCCA